UGCUUUAUGAUCUUGACCUCUCUCUCAAGCAGAAAAGAAAGAAUGGCAUCUAAGUUUCCCUUUUUGGGUGCACAGGUUGCUAUAUUGUAGAAAAAUGAAGAAUUGAAUAGGGUGACAGAAGGAAAAGGACUAACAUUAUUAAGUAACAAGGAUAUAAUCAUACAGAAAUCAAUAUAAUGUUAGUGAAAUGGCAGUCAGUUCCAUAUCAAUAAAUGUAUAUCAGUGCUUACCAACAAUAACCAAGUUCUUUAUUCCUGCAGUUUUCAGGACAGAAUCAAGGUGCGU
This 285-nucleotide long non-coding RNA is filed under the name Sorghum bicolor (sorghum). Its description in RNAcentral is "long non-coding RNA (SBIC_LNC006259)". Lineage: Eukaryota; Viridiplantae; Streptophyta; Magnoliopsida; Poales; Poaceae. The record is from RNAcentral.